Molecule: ribosomal RNA, 484 nt
Filed under: uncultured bacterium
Lineage: Bacteria
Description: partial 16S ribosomal RNA
Rfam family: Bacterial small subunit ribosomal RNA (bases 56-484)
Source: RNAcentral
GGGGGGGGGGGGGGGGGGGGCGGGGGCAGGGGGGUCGGGGGGGGGAGGGGGGGGGGCGCCGGGAUGCAGGGGCGGACGGGGGAGUAAUGCCUAGGAAACUGCCUGGUGGUGGGGGAGAACGUCCGGGAACGGGCGCUAAUACCGCAUACGGCCUGACGGAGAAAGUGGGUGAUCUUCGGACCUCACGCUAUCAGAUGAGCCUAGGUCGGAUUAGCUAGUUGGUGGGGUAAAGGCCUACCAAGGCGACGAUCCGUAACUGGUCUGAGAGGAUGAUCAGUCACACUGGAACUGAGACACGGUCCAGACUCCUACGGGAGGCAGCAGUGGGGAAUAUUGGACAAUGGGCGAAAGCCUGAUCCAGCCAUGCCGCGUGUGUGAAGAAGGUCUUCGGAUUGUAAAGCACUUUAAGUUGGGAGGAAGGGCAGUAAGUUAAUACCUUGCUGUUUUGACGUUACCAACAGAAUAAGCACCGGCUAACUUCGUG